CAAAGUGUAGCUUAUCCUUAAAGCAUCCGGCCUACACCCAGAAGAUUUCACAACACGUGACCGCUUUG
Molecule: transfer RNA, 68 nt
Filed under: Prolemur simus (greater bamboo lemur)
Lineage: Eukaryota; Metazoa; Chordata; Mammalia; Primates; Lemuridae
Description: tRNA-Val
Source: RNAcentral